ACGUGGAUGAUCUACCUUCUGGUGGGGAAUAACCCUGCGAAACCGGGGCUAAUACCGCAUAAGUCCGACAGGAGAAAGCAGCAAUGCGCCGGAAGAGGAGUCCGCGGCCGAUUAGCUAGUUGGCAGGGUAAAAGCCUACCAAGGCAAAGAUCGGUGGCCGGCCUGAGAGGGCACACGGUCACACUGGCACUGAAACACGGGCCAGACUCCUACGGGAGGCAGCAGUGGGGAAUCUUGCACAAUGGGGGAAACCCUGAU
RNAcentral lists this ribosomal RNA (258 nucleotides) under uncultured bacterium. Its description in RNAcentral is "partial 16S ribosomal RNA". It matches the Rfam family "Bacterial small subunit ribosomal RNA", at positions 115 to 387 of the family's 1533-position model. The record is from RNAcentral.